AUUGAACGCUGGCGGCAGGCUUAACACAUGCAAGUCGAGCGGGGGAAGGUAGCUUGCUACCGGACCUAGCGGCGGACGGGUGAGUAAUGCUUAGGAAUCUGCCUAUUAGUGGGGGACAACAUCUCGAAAGGGAUGCUAAUACCGCAUACGUCCUACGGGAGAAAGCAGGGGAUCUUCGGACCUUGCGCUAAUAGAUGAGCCUAAGUCGGAUUAGCUAGUUGGUGGGGUAAAGGCCUACCAAGGCGGAGAUCUGUAGCGGGUCUGAGAGGAUGAUCCGCCACACUGGGACUGAGACACGACCCAGACUCCUACGGGAGGCAGCAGUGGGGAAUAUUGGACAAUGGGGGGAACCCUGAUCCAGCCAUGCCGCGUGUGUGAAGAAGGCCUUAUGGUUGUAAAGCACUUUAAGCGAGGAGGAGGCUACUCUAGUUAAUACCUAGGGAUAGUGGACGUUACUCGCAGAAUAAGCACCGGCUAACUCUGUGCCAGCCGCCGCCGUAA
RNAcentral lists this ribosomal RNA (501 nucleotides) under uncultured bacterium. Its description in RNAcentral is "partial 16S ribosomal RNA". It matches the Rfam family "Bacterial small subunit ribosomal RNA", at positions 30 to 523 of the family's 1533-position model. The record is from RNAcentral.